This 908-nucleotide ribosomal RNA is filed under the name Spinivesica tompricensis. RNAcentral describes it as "partial large subunit ribosomal RNA". It matches the Rfam family "Eukaryotic large subunit ribosomal RNA", at positions 1060 to 1877 of the family's 3401-position model. Lineage: Eukaryota; Metazoa; Arthropoda; Insecta; Hemiptera; Miridae. The record is from RNAcentral.
CAACUCCAAAUAGAUGAGAACUCCGGCUUUCUUGAACUUUGUUUUUGAAGCCGGGGGCUCGGAUCAGAGUGCCAAGUGGGCCAAUUUUGGUAAGCAGAACUGGCGCUGUGGGAUGAACCAAACGUCGAGUUAAGGCGCCCAAAUCGACGCUCAUGUGAAACCAUGAAAGGCGUUGGUUGCUUAAGACAGCAGGACGGUGGCCAUGGAAGUCGGAAUCCGCUAAGGAGUGUGUAACAACUCACCUGCCGAAGCAACUAGCCCUGAAAAUGGAUGGCGCUGUAGCGUCGUGCCUAUACUCGACCGUCAACGGCAAAGAUGGCUGGCGGGCAACCGUCGGCCGUUACGCCUUGACGAGUAGGAGGGCCGCGGCGGCGUGCGUAGAAGGGUCUGGGCGCGAGCCUGCCUGGAGCCGCCGUCGGUGCAGAUCUUGGUGGUAGUAGCAAAUACUCCAGCGAGGCCCUGGAGGACUGAUGUGGAGAAGGGUUUCUUGUGAACAGCUGUUGCACAAGAGUCAGUCGGUCCUAAGCCCUAGGAGAAAUCCGAAGCGAUGGGUUGCCGUUAAUGUCAUCAAACAACAUGAAGGCACCCGUUUGGGCGAAAGGGAAUCCGGUUCCUAUUCCGGAACCUGGCAGUGGAACCGUUCCAAUUCGGGCCCUCUGAGGACUCGUCAGGGCAACCUGAAUAGACCCGGAGACGCCGACAGGAGGUUGGGGGAGAGUUGUCUCUUCUCUAUAAGCGAUCGAGUUCCCUGGAAACUUCUAGCAAGGAGAUAGGGUUUGGAUCGCGAAGAGCACUGCAGUUACGGCAGUGUCCCAAUCUUCCUCUCGGACCUUGAAAAUCCGGGUGAGGGCCACGAGGAACCCCACGCCAGACCGUACCCAUAUCCGCAGCAGGUCUCCAAGGUGCAA